GUGAUAUUUUUCUUCAGAGUGGGGCUAUGCUUCGUCCUUGCAAGGCUAACACGGUGCUGUAUAGGUCAGAGAGAGAAGAGAAUUUGAAAUAAGUUAAUAUUUCAGGACUUUGGUUGCAUGACCUGGAUAUUUCUUAGCAAGACUUCAAAGAAAGGUCCUCUGUAACCAGUGGCAACAGGAGAUCCAGGAAUGACUAAAUCCUUGGAACGUCUCCUCACUUAUGCAAGCCUGCAAAUGGGAAGCAUCUACGUGGGCUCACAUGUAGAGCCAGAGAAAUGUGAGACCGGAAGGGCACUGGAUCGCCUCAUCCUUUCUCUGCACCAAUGCAGGAUCAAGGGUCCUUGGACCAUCUCUGACACAUGCUUGAAUCAUCCUUGGCUUCUCCAGCCUGCUCUAGUAUUCCUAACCGUGCUAUUCAAACAGGACUUUGGCUGUGCCUGAGCCUGCUUCCAGCAACAGCAAUCAAGCAGGCCUUUUGCUGUCAUUGCUGGCCCUGCAGCUGGGAGAUUUAUGGCUUGGGUGAAGAGUGAACGCAGAAGUUCUCCUGGCAACUCCAGCUGAUGGGUUUGUGCUAAAGAAGGAAAGAUCUAAGGUAAAUGUUUGAAAGGCCACUAUGGACCAAAGUCCACCUAGGUGAGUUCCUGUCCCUAGCAGUUGCCAAUAGCAAAUGCUUUGAGUGUGAAAAAUAGGAUUAGUACAGGAUGACCCUUCUCCCCGUCAGCUGGGUAUGGGUUCUUGCCUUUUGGGCUAUGGUAUUUAAAAUCCCCUGGCAGACCUCUCUUCCAUCUUGUCUAUCUUGUCUUCUUCCUUUUCUGUCCUCUAAAAUGAAUUUGAUGCUAAAAACGACAAAACACAUGGACCGUAAUGGCAGUGACUCAACCUGGCAUCAGAAGUGCUGGAGGUCGGCAUGGUCACAGCUU
Apteryx rowi (Okarito brown kiwi) is the source of this 920-nucleotide long non-coding RNA. Lineage: Eukaryota; Metazoa; Chordata; Aves; Apterygiformes; Apterygidae. The record is from Ensembl.